CAGUUCUCAGGUUUGCCUCUGCCCCUGGCCAUGGUACUGACCUCUUCAGAAUAGUGCUAACACCAAGUACUCUGCCCUAUAUACUUUGUAUGUGGUUAGUAUUUAAUGAAUAUAUGUUGGAUUUUUAUUGAAAUGAAUUGAAAAAAUGUACAGAGAUAGACAAAGAAAUGCUUAUAGGGGAGGAAGGAGUAGGACUUCAAUGAAUCAAUAUAAAUUUAUUAAGUAUCAUGUGCCAGGAAUCUAUUAGAUGUUGGAGAUACAAAUGUAAAAGUGAAUCAGUUUCUGCCUUUGAGGAACUUGUGCUAUAAUGAAGAAAUACAGCAUGUUUACAGAUGAUGGGUAAAUGAAAAUAUCCAAAGACUGAAAGAGAAGUACUGUGAGAGGAUUGGAAAUCUUUCUGUUAAAAGGCCAGGCACUCCCUUCCUGCAUCUUCAAGCAUCAACCACCAAAUGCCGCUUUCAUCUUCUGUUUGCUUCCAUUAGCCUCGUAUAGUAGAACAAAGCAAAACCCGUCAAAGCAUAAACUCAAUUACUCCAUUUGCACUGCACUAAAAUCUGCUGAUCCAUUUUCUAGUCACUGAAUUUACAAGGCAAUAAAGAGAUGCAUGCUGAUGAGUUCUGAUGAAAGACGGAAGUGGUGUAGCCUAGGACUUGCAUACCCAGGUACCAGCUAACCAGCCAGCAACCUGCGCAACUGUUUUUAUUGUAGCCAAUGUUGAAAUAAAAAUCCUAUUGUCUUCUCUUGCUCCCA
Molecule: long non-coding RNA, 750 nt
Organism: Monodelphis domestica (gray short-tailed opossum)
Lineage: Eukaryota; Metazoa; Chordata; Mammalia; Didelphimorphia; Didelphidae
Source: RefSeq, a predicted model, not a curated record